AUACAAAUAAUAUGAUUAACUUUUAACCACAUACAUGCAUUCGACAUUUGUAUUUGCAUCAUUUCUUUUUACAUUACAUAAUUUCCAAAAUAAAACUCUUUACAUUCUUUCAUUUAAAUAUUUGCAUCGUUCAUACAACUAUAUUCAUCAAAGUACAAAAGAUGAUAUAUAAAGGGUAUGCAACUACACAAAAUAUAAUCAACAAGGAUGGUCACUGUCUAUGACGCGAUACCUUUACCGCGAUCGUCGGCCGGCUCACUCGGUCCCGGCUCUGUGGAAAUAGUGGGGUGAGAACUACAACAAAAUUUUCAGUCGGUUCGGCCGCCGACCUCGCCGACUUUCCCACUAGGUCUAAAUCAAGCAUAACAGAAGAAUAGAUAGAUAGUAACCACCUAUAACAA
Molecule: long non-coding RNA, 401 nt
Filed under: Ananas comosus (pineapple)
Lineage: Eukaryota; Viridiplantae; Streptophyta; Magnoliopsida; Poales; Bromeliaceae
Description: long non-coding RNA (ACOM_LNC005172)
Source: RNAcentral